GUCUAUGGCCAUGCCACUCUGGACAAGCCUGAUCCAGUCUGAUCUCAGAAGCUAAGCAGGGUCAGGCCUGGUUAGUACUUGGAUGGGUGACUACCUAGGAAGACCAGGUGCUGUAGGCA
RNAcentral lists this ribosomal RNA (119 nucleotides) under Pteropus alecto (black flying fox). Lineage: Eukaryota; Metazoa; Chordata; Mammalia; Chiroptera; Pteropodidae. The record is from RNAcentral.